UGGGGAAUAUUGGACAAUGGGGGGAACCCUGAUCCAGCAAUGCCGCGUGUGUGAAGAAGGCCUGAGGGUUGUAAAGCACUUUCAGUGGGGAGGAGGGCUUUAGGGUUAAGAGCUAUAAAGUUGGACGUUACCCACAGAAGAAGCACCGGCUAACUCCGUGCCAGCAGCCGCGGUAAUACGGAGGGUGCGAGCGUUAAUCGGAAUUACUGGGCGUAAAGGGUGCGUAGGUGGUUGAUUAAGUUAUCUGUGAAAUUCCUGGGCUCAACCUGGGCGUGUCAGAUAAGACUGAUUGACUUGAGUAUAGGAGAGGGUAGUGGAAUUUCCGGUGUAGCGGUGAAAUGCGUAGAGAUCGGAAGGAACACCAGUGGCGAAGGCGGCUACCUGGCCUGAUACUGACACUGAGGCACGAAAGCGUGGGGAGCAAACAGGAUUAGAUACCCCCGUAGUCC
Molecule: ribosomal RNA, 449 nt
Filed under: uncultured bacterium
Lineage: Bacteria
Description: bacterial SSU rRNA
Rfam family: Bacterial small subunit ribosomal RNA
Source: RNAcentral